CGCGAAAACUCCGCAAUGCGCGAAAGCGCGACGGGGUCACCCCGAGUGCCGUCCGCUGAGGGCGGCUUUUGCCUGGUCUAACUAGCCGAGUGAAUAAGGGGAGGGCAAGUCUGGUGUCAGCCGCCGCGGUAAUACCAGCUCCUCGAGUGGUUGGGACGAUUAUUGGGUCUAAAGCGUCCGUAGCCGGCCGGAAAAGUUUUCCGUUAAAUCCAACGAUCCAAUCGUUGGGCUGCGGGGAAUACUCUUCGGCUUGGGGGCGAGGGAGGUCGGCGGUAGUCUCGGGGUAGGGGCGAAAUCCUAUAAUCCCGAGAGGACCACCAGUGGCGAAGGCGGCCGACUAAAGCGCGCCCGACGGUGAGGGACGAAAGCUGGGGGAGCGAACGG
This 384-nucleotide ribosomal RNA is filed under the name uncultured bacterium. Its description in RNAcentral is "bacterial SSU rRNA". It matches the Rfam family "Archaeal small subunit ribosomal RNA", at positions 340 to 726 of the family's 1478-position model. The record is from RNAcentral.